GGGGGCGUACCGGUUUCGACGGGGAUGAAGAAGCCCUGGUUGCGUGACCGUCGACCCAGAGACGACGAAAAAACCUUUGGGAACCAACAACUGCCAACGAUAACGCAGUCGCUCUCGCGGCCUAAUCCGCUGUAGCUAGAGCCGUCCCACUGCAGGAGUUCGCCGAUACUCCGCAACUGGGGCGUGGAUCAAAUCGGCUAGCCCUCUCCGCGUGAUCCGGGAGCUGGGCGAAACUUCAGGAUCACUCGCGAUGGAGCGAGCCUGUCCGUGGGCGCAACCCAUCGUCAAAUCAAAAUACGGACUACGCACGUAGACGCCAGAGCGGAACAUUUCCGGACGCGGGUUCGACUCCCGCCGCCUCCACCA
This 366-nucleotide transfer-messenger RNA is filed under the name Myxococcales bacterium. It matches the Rfam family "transfer-messenger RNA". From Rfam's summary of the family: Bacterial tmRNA, also known as 10Sa RNA or SsrA, is named for its dual tRNA and mRNA-like properties. Its role is to liberate the mRNA from a stalled ribosome. To accomplish this part of the tmRNA is used as a reading frame that ends in a translation stop signal. Lineage: Bacteria; Pseudomonadati; Myxococcota; Myxococcia; Myxococcales. The record is from RNAcentral.